RNAcentral lists this ribosomal RNA (253 nucleotides) under uncultured bacterium. Its description in RNAcentral is "partial small subunit ribosomal RNA". It matches the Rfam family "Bacterial small subunit ribosomal RNA", at positions 26 to 281 of the family's 1533-position model. The record is from RNAcentral.
AGGAUGAACGCUAGCGGGAGGCCUAACACAUGCAAGCCGAGCGGUAUAUUGGAUUUAUUCAGUAGAGAGCGGCGUACGGGUGCGUAACACGUGUGCAACCUACCUUUAUCAGGGGGAUAGCCUUUCGAAAGGAAGAUUAAUACCCCAUAAUAUAUCAGAUGGCAUCAUAUGAUAUUGAAAACUCCGGUGGAUAAAGAUGGGCACGCGCAAGAUUAGUUUGUUGGUGAGGUAACGGCUCACCAAGACUACGAUC